UCCUCCGUGGCGCAAUUGGCUAGCGCGUCUGACUGUUAAUCAGGAGGUUGAAAGUUCAAGCCUUUCCGGGGGAG
Transfer RNA from Metarhizium anisopliae BRIP 53293, 74 nucleotides. It matches the Rfam family "tRNA". From Rfam's summary of the family: Transfer RNA (tRNA) molecules are approximately 80 nucleotides in length. NCBI's taxonomy places the organism in Eukaryota, Fungi, Ascomycota, Sordariomycetes, Hypocreales, Clavicipitaceae. The record is from Rfam.